GAAACUUAAGGCUGGAAAAACAAAUCCCUGAAUCUGUUAGGCCUCAGUUUCCCAUCUGAAAAAUGAGAGAUGAAAUGAAGACCGCAUAGCUGUCCAUGGAUGGUCUCGAGAAUGGUUUUCCUCACAGAUAUCUCUGGAGUGAAACACGGUUCCAGAGGGGAACUUGAAGAUCUCACUGAAGGAAAUUCUGUUUCCCAAAAGCUAAGAGGAAAUCCCUUUUCCACCAAGGAAACUACGGAGACCUAGAGACCCAGCUCUAAUGUCUCCUCCUCUGUGACGCAUCCAAGGCCCAGACCUAGGCUUGCCCUUGAGGAGCUACAGAUGAUGCAGGCAGAGGCAGCGACAGCGCCUGUGAUUCUGGGAAGCACCUCGGCCCCCACCCCAGCCCGGGGCACGAAGCAGCUGAAGAGAAAGAUGGCACUGACUUACAGACAAGAUGGGAAAAGACAUUCAAGAAGAGGAAACAGGGUGCGCAGAGGGCAGUCUGGAAGGGCUUGAAGACAGGCCUGCUAAAUGCAGAGGUCUGAGGCCGGUUUGUUCACCCCUCACCAUCCUGCCCAGCACUGGGCCCACAGCAAGUCUGGCUGAGGAUUUAGGCGAGAGUAAGGUCAGUGAUGAAGGUGUGGAUGGUCGGCUUUAGUCCUCCGCUGAUCAGACCCACAGGAUGGCAGUGACUGAGGGCAGGGCCAGAUGGACUUUUGUGGACUCGAAGGUAUUGCAGGGAGACAAGUGUGCUUCAGCCUGCAGACGGCCUCCAGCUGGAGGCCCUAAAGAGGCCAGAGGAGCCUGGGGUAGUAGAGGGGCCUCAGGCACAGAUGUGGGUGCAUAAGGAACAGGGAUGAACGUGCCCUCAGCCCUGAAGUCUAGCAUUCUUU
RNAcentral lists this long non-coding RNA (875 nucleotides) under Heterocephalus glaber (naked mole-rat). RNAcentral's name for it is "lncRNA (ENSHGLG00000036877.1)". The record is from RNAcentral. Lineage: Eukaryota; Metazoa; Chordata; Mammalia; Rodentia; Bathyergidae.